CAGCAGCCGCGGUAAUGCGUAGGCAGCAAGCGUUACCCGGAUUUACUGGGCGUAAAGGGCGUGUAGGCGGCCUGGGGCGUCCCAUGUGAAAGGCCACGGCUCAACCGUGGAGGAGCGUGGGAUACGCUCAGGCUAGAGGGUGGGAGAGGGUGGUGGAAUUCCCGGAGUAGCGGUGAAAUGCGCAGAUACCGGGAGGAACGCCGAUGGCGAAGGCAGCCACCUGGUCCACUUCUGACGCUGAGGCGCGAAAGCGUGGGGAGCAAACCAGAUUAGAUACCCCCGUAGUCCCUGUCUCUUAUAC
RNAcentral lists this ribosomal RNA (301 nucleotides) under uncultured bacterium. Its description in RNAcentral is "partial 16S ribosomal RNA". It matches the Rfam family "Bacterial small subunit ribosomal RNA", at positions 509 to 807 of the family's 1533-position model. The record is from RNAcentral.